This 91-nucleotide ribosomal RNA is filed under the name Oscillospiraceae bacterium. Lineage: Bacteria; Bacillati; Bacillota; Clostridia; Eubacteriales; Oscillospiraceae. The record is from RNAcentral.
ACCUGUUCCCAUUCCGAACACAGCAGUUAAGCCCUUCAGCGCCGAUGGUACUUGGCUGGAGACGGCCCGGGAGAGUAGGUCGCUGCCGGAU